AGUCGAACGGGAAUUACUUUAUUGAAACUUCGGUCGAUUUAAUUUAAUUCUAGUGGCGGACGGGUGAGUAACGCGUGGGUAACCUGCCUUAUACAGGGGGAUAACAGUCAGAAAUGGCUGCUAAUACCGCAUAAGCGCACAGAGCUGCAUGGCUCAGUGUGAAAAACUCCGGUGGUAUAAGAUGGACCCGCGUUGGAUUAGCUGGUUGGUGGGGUAACGGCCCACCAAGGCGACGAUCCAUAGCCGGCCUGAGAGGGUGAACGGCCACAUUGGGACUGAGACACGGCCCAGACUCCUACGGGAGGCAGCAGUGGGGAAUAUUGCACAAUGGGGGAAACCCUGAUGCAGCGACGCCGCGUGAAGGAAGAAGUAUCUCGGUAUGUAAACUUCUAUCAGCAGGGAAGACAGUGACGGUACCUGACUAAGAAGCCCCGGCUAACUACGUGCCAGCAGCCGCGGUAAUACGUAGGGGGCAAGCGUUAUCCGGACUUACUGGGUGUAAAGGGAGCGUAGACGGUGUGGCAAGUCUGAUGUGAAAGGCAUGGGCUCAACCUGUGGACUGCAUUGGAGACUGUCAUACUUGAGUGCCGGAGGGGUAAGCGGAAUUCCUAGUGUAGCGGUGAAAUGCGUAGAUAUUAGGAGGAACACCAGUGGCG
This 656-nucleotide ribosomal RNA is filed under the name uncultured Lachnospiraceae bacterium. RNAcentral describes it as "bacterial SSU rRNA". It matches the Rfam family "Bacterial small subunit ribosomal RNA", at positions 60 to 717 of the family's 1533-position model. The record is from RNAcentral. Lineage: Bacteria; Bacillati; Bacillota; Clostridia; Lachnospirales; Lachnospiraceae.